Molecule: ribosomal RNA, 253 nt
Filed under: uncultured bacterium
Lineage: Bacteria
Description: partial 16S ribosomal RNA
Rfam family: Bacterial small subunit ribosomal RNA
Source: RNAcentral
AACGUAGGGGACAAGCGUUAUCCGGAUUUACUGGGCGUAAAGCGCCCGUAGGCGGCCUGACAAGUUGGACGUGAAAGCUCCUGGCUUAACUGGGAGAGGCCGUUCAAAACUGUCAAGCUAGAGUCUGGAAGAGGAGAGCGGAAUUCCCGGUGUAGUGGUGGAAUGCGUAGAGAUCGGGAGGAACACCAGCGGCGAAGGCGGCGCUCUGGGCCGGUACUGACACUGAGGAGCGAAAGCUAGGGUAGCGAACGGG